Molecule: ribosomal RNA, 423 nt
Filed under: uncultured bacterium
Lineage: Bacteria
Description: bacterial SSU rRNA
Rfam family: Bacterial small subunit ribosomal RNA
Source: RNAcentral
UAGGGAAUAUUGGGCAAUGGUCGAGAGACUGACCCAGCCAUGCCGCGUGAAGGAAGAAGGCUUUCUGAGUUGUAAACUUCUUUUAUCUGGGAAUAAAAUACCCUUGCGAGGGGAACUGAAGGUACCAGAUGAAUAAGCACCGGCUAACUCCGUGCCAGCAGCCGCGGUAAUACGGAGGGUGCAAGCGUUGUCCGGAUUUAUUGGGUUUAAAGGGUGCGUAGGUGGCUCAUUAAGUCAGUGUUUAAAGUCAACAGCUCAACUGUUGGAAUGGCAUUGAUACUGAUGAGCUUGAGUAAAGUUGAGGUAGACAGAAUUGAUGGUGUAGCGGUGAAAUGCAUAGAUAUCAUCAAGAAUACCGAUUGCGAAGGCAGUUUACUAAGCUUUAACUGACACUGAGGCACGAAAGUGUGGGGAUCAAACAGG